GUCAUGUCUUAUCUUGUACAAUACAAUAAUUCUUUCAUUUUUUAAAUUUUAUUGGCCGCAAAUAAAGACCAAAAUGAAAAGGAUCCUGUUGCAUCCAUUAUAUAUGGACAGAUUGUUGCUUUGGAUUCUCUAUAUUGAGAGAAACAGAGAUGGAAAGUGAGAAGUCUAUGCCUUUGUUUGAGACAAAGAAAGCCAAGGGAAGGGUCCUGCACAGGCUCUUUGCAGGGACUCUAUUUAUGGGUGUAUGUUUCAUAUGGGCUUAUAGAUUUGGUAACAUACCAAGAGAAGGAGAAGAUGGGAGAUGGGUGUGGAUUGGAUUGCUUGGGGCUGAGUUAUGGUUCGGUCUUUACUGGGUCCUCACUCAAGCUUUAAGGUGGAACCAAGUCUAUAGGUGCACCUUCAAGGACAGGCUCUAUCACAGAUACGCAGAGGAGGACUUGCCUGGGAUUGAUAUAUUUGUUUGCACGGCGGAUUCCACCGUAGAGCCACCAAUAAUGGUGAUCAACACUGUCUUUUCUGUUAUGGCUUAUGAUUAUCCAGCAAAAAAGUUGAGUGUGUAUCUUUCUGAUGACGGUGGAUCAAACCUUACGUUUUAUGCUCUGCUGGAGGCAUCUAAUUUUGCAAGAUAUUGGAUACCAUAUUGCAAAAAAUUCAAAGUGGAACCGAGGUCACCUGCAGCUUAUUUUGCUUCAGGAUCUAAUCCAAAUCAGUAUGGUGAGACUACAGUUAUUAAGAAAUUAUACAAAGAAAUGGAAGACCGAAUUGUAACUGCAACCAAAUUAGGUCGAAUCCUUGAAGAAGCACGCUUGAAACAUAGAGGAUUUUCACAGUGGGAUUCAUACUCUUCACGGCAUGAUCAUGACACCAUCCUUCAAAUUUUAAUAGACGGAAAGGAUCCAAAUGCCACAGACAUUGAUGGGGGUGCAUUGCCUACUUUAGUAUACCUCGCUAGAGAGAAGAGACCUCAACAUCCCCACAAUUUCAAAGCUGGUGCCAUGAAUGCAUUGAUCAGAGUGUCAUCAAACAUCAGCAAUGGACAGAUUAUUCUGAAUCUAGACUGUGAUAUGUACUCAAACAACUCACUUUGCAUAUGGGAUGCACUUUGUUUCUUCAUGGACAAAGAGAAUGGCCAUGACAUUGCUUUUGUACAAUUCCCACAAGGAUUUGAAAAUAUGACCAAAAAUGAUAUCUACGGUAGUUCAUUUAUAGUGAUUUCCAAUGUAAGUGUGUUUGGCUCUUUUAUCUCAAUAUUCUUACCGAGUUAUCAUGUUUGUUUGGUAAUGCAUUUUAUAAAUGAUGUCAAUGAAGGUGGAAUUUCAUGGUGUUGAUGGUUUCGGAGGUCCUUUAUACAUUGGAAGUGGCUGCUUUCACAGGAGAGAUGUUCUUUGUGGAAGGAAAUUCACUAAAGAU
Molecule: unclassified non-coding RNA, 1410 nt
Filed under: Hevea brasiliensis (rubber tree)
Lineage: Eukaryota; Viridiplantae; Streptophyta; Magnoliopsida; Malpighiales; Euphorbiaceae
Source: RNAcentral